GCAGCAAUGUCCGAGUGGUUAAGGAGUCUGACUUGAAAUCAAAUGGGCUCUGACCGCGUGCGUUCGAGUCCUGCUGGCUGCG
Molecule: transfer RNA, 82 nt
Organism: Toxocara canis (dog roundworm)
Lineage: Eukaryota; Metazoa; Nematoda; Chromadorea; Rhabditida; Toxocaridae
Rfam family: tRNA
About the family: Transfer RNA (tRNA) molecules are approximately 80 nucleotides in length. Their secondary structure includes four short double-helical elements and three loops (D, anti-codon, and T loops).
Source: Rfam